GACGAACGCUGGCGGCGUGCCUAAUACAUGCAAGUCGAGCGAGUCUGCCUUGAAGAUCGGAGUGCUUGCACUCUGUGAAACCAGAUACAGGCUAGCGGCGGACGGGUGAGUAACACGUGGGUAACCUGCCCAAGAGAUCGGGAUAACACCUGGAAACAGAUGCUAAUACCGGAUAACAACAGAUGAUGCCUAUCAACUGUUUAAAAGAUGGUUCUGCUAUCACUCUUGGAUGGACCUGCGGUGCAUUAGCUAGUUGGUAGGGUAACGGCCUACCAAGGCGAUGAUGCAUAGCCGAGUUGAGAGACUGAUCGGCCACAUUGGGACUGAGACACGGCCCAAACUCCUACGGGAGGCAGCAGUAGGGAAUCUUCCACAAUGGACGCAAGUCUGAUGGAGCAACGCCGCGUGAGUGAAGAAGGGUUUCGGCUCGUAAAGCUCUGUUGUUGGUGAAGAAGGACAGGGGUAGUAACUGACCUUUGUUUGACGGUAAUCAAUUAGAAAGUCACGGCUAACUACGUG
This 519-nucleotide ribosomal RNA is filed under the name uncultured bacterium. RNAcentral describes it as "partial 16S ribosomal RNA". It matches the Rfam family "Bacterial small subunit ribosomal RNA", at positions 28 to 507 of the family's 1533-position model. The record is from RNAcentral.